GACGAACGCUGGCGGCGUGCUUAACACAUGCAAGUCGAACGGUAAGGCCCUUCGGGGUACACGAGUGGCGAACGGGUGAGUAACACGUGGGUGAUCUGCCCUGCACUUCGGGAUAAGCCUGGGAAACUGGGUCUAAUACCGGAUAGGACCCUGGGAUGCAUGUCCUGGUGGUGGAAAGCUUUUGCGGUGUGGGAGGGGCCCGCGGCCUAUCAGCUUGUUGGUGGGGUGAUGGCCUACCAAGGCGACGACGGGUAGCCGGACUGAGAGGGUGACCGGCCACACUGGGACUGAGAUACGGCCCAGACUCCUACGGGAGGCAGCAGUGGGGAAUAUUGCACAAUGGGCGCAAGCCUGAUGCAGCGACGCCGCGUGAGGGAUGACGGCCUUCGGGUUGUAAACCUCUUUCAGCACCGACGAAGCGCAAGUGACGGUAGGUGCAGAAGAAGGACCGGCCAACUACGUGCCAGCAGCCGCCGUAA
This 479-nucleotide ribosomal RNA is filed under the name uncultured bacterium. Its description in RNAcentral is "partial 16S ribosomal RNA". It matches the Rfam family "Bacterial small subunit ribosomal RNA", at positions 28 to 523 of the family's 1533-position model. The record is from RNAcentral.